AACGAACGCUGGCGGCAUGCCUAACACAUGCAAGUCGAACGAAACCUUCGUGUCUAUUUGCGCACGUGUGCUUAACGCGUGGUAACCUACCCUUAGGUUCCGAAUAACUGCCCGUAAGGGGUCCUAAGACCGGUUAAGGUCUUCGCACCUAAGAUUUAUCGCCUUUGGGUGGGGGCGCGUUGGAUUAGCUAGUUGGUAGUGGAAAAGCAUACCAAGGCCACGAUGCCUAGCUGGUAUGAGAGGAUGAUACGCAACACUGGGAAUGCGACACGGACUAGAACCCUAGGGGAAGGAGCAGUGGGGAGUAUUGGACGAUGGGCGCAAGUGUGAUACAGCAACGCGGGGUAAGUGAUGAAGGCGUUAGGGUUGUACAGCCGUUUUACACGGGAUGAUAAUGACAGUAAUGGGAGAAUAAGCACCGGCUAACUACGUG
Molecule: ribosomal RNA, 433 nt
Filed under: uncultured bacterium
Lineage: Bacteria
Description: partial 16S ribosomal RNA
Rfam family: Bacterial small subunit ribosomal RNA
Source: RNAcentral